This 524-nucleotide ribosomal RNA is filed under the name uncultured bacterium. RNAcentral describes it as "partial 16S ribosomal RNA". It matches the Rfam family "Bacterial small subunit ribosomal RNA", at positions 28 to 523 of the family's 1533-position model. The record is from RNAcentral.
GACGAACGCUGGCGGCGUGCCUAAUACAUGCAAGUCGAGCGCAGGAAGCCGUCUGAACCCUUCGGGGGGACGACGGUGGAAUGAGCGGCGGACGGGUGAGUAACACGUAAAGAACCUGCCCAUAGGUCUGGGAUAACCACGAGAAAUCGGGGCUAAUACCGGAUGUGUCAUCGGACCGCAUGGUCCGCUGAUGAAAGGCGCUCCGGCGUCGCCCAUGGAUGGCUUUGCGGUGCAUUAGCUAGUUGGUGGGGUAACGGCCCACCAAGGCGACGAUGCAUAGCCGACCUGAGAGGGUGAUCGGCCACACUGGGACUGAGACACGGCCCAGACUCCUACGGGGGGCAGCAGUAGGGAAUCUUCCACAAUGGACGAAAGUCUGAUGGAGCAACGCCGCGUGAACGAUGAAGGCUUUCGGGUCGUAAAGUUCUGUUGUAAGGGAAGAACAAGUGCCGCAGGCAAUGGCGGCACCUUGACGGUACCUUGCGAGAAAGCCACGGCUAACUACGUGCCAGCCGCCGCUGUAA